Nylanderia fulva is the source of this 401-nucleotide non-coding RNA. Lineage: Eukaryota; Metazoa; Arthropoda; Insecta; Hymenoptera; Formicidae. The record is from RefSeq and is a predicted model, not a curated record.
UUUUCUAAAAAUCAUAAAUCUAAAAAGGAUCUCUUACUUACAAAAAUAUGUCAAGCAAGGAAGGUAACUUCAGUUACGGAUAACAAAACAAAAAUCAUAGAGAUUGCAAGAGAAAAACAGAAAUGUUUAAUAGAAGAUAAUAUGGAUUCUGAUAAUGCUACAGAAGAAAAUAUUGAUCCUAAUAUUCCACGAGAGGACGAUUUUUCAAUGAAAGUUCAGGAUAUCAAAUAAAGAUGUAUCUCCAAGUACAAGUGCAAGAUCGAUAAAUAUAGAGACACCAGAAUUACGUCAAAAGAGUCCAGUUACUUCACAUGUGACAGCUGUAACUACACCGAGUUCAUCUUGUAGAUCAAGUAGUGUAUUAGAUGUGUCUAAAGCGACCUUUGAUAUGAAAGCUUUUG